Molecule: long non-coding RNA, 371 nt
Organism: Mytilus californianus (California mussel)
Lineage: Eukaryota; Metazoa; Mollusca; Bivalvia; Mytilida; Mytilidae
Exons: 3
Source: RefSeq, a predicted model, not a curated record
AAAUAGGAAUCAUUCACGACUUUUCACGCGUGGCGGCGCUGCGGUUCCAUAAGUGGUUACUUGAACGCUUCAAUCACGUAAAACGCUUGCAUCUGUAUUUACAACGUAAACAAUGGCAUCCGAUGAUUACAUCACCUGGUCUGUUCCAGAACUAACGUUACAUGGAGCUGUCACAAGAGACAGAACUAUAGAUCUUAUAGAAAGAAUCAGUUAGAGGAGCCAAAAUGUAUAAGCUUAGGUUCAAAACAUUCUGGAGGAGCAGAUUGUGUGAAGAAGCCAGCAGAAGUCAAGAGAAAUAAAAAGAAUGGAACAAAAGAAAAAAUGAAAAAGAACAGUGAAAUGACAAAAUUAAAUAAAAUUUUUGCAUUUCU